CAGUCGCCACGGUAAUACAGAGGGUGCGAGCGUUAAUCGGAUUUACUGGGCGUAAAGCGUGCGUAGGCGGCUUCUUAAGUCGGAUGUGAAAUCCAUGAGCUUAACUUAGGAAUUGCAUUCGAUACUGGGAAGCUAGAGUAUGGGAGAGGAUGGUAGAAUUCCAGGUGUAGCGGUGAAAUGCGUAGAGAUCUGGAGGAAUACCGAUGGCGAAGGCAGCCAUCUGGCCUAAUACUGACGCUGAGGUACGAAAGCAUGGGGAGCAAACAGGAUUAGAUACCCCUGUAGUCCCUGUCUCUUAUAC
RNAcentral lists this ribosomal RNA (301 nucleotides) under uncultured bacterium. RNAcentral's name for it is "partial 16S ribosomal RNA". It matches the Rfam family "Bacterial small subunit ribosomal RNA", at positions 509 to 807 of the family's 1533-position model. The record is from RNAcentral.